CACCUCAGCUUGGAGUCAUGUGCAACGCACAUGACCCAUUUAGUUGUGGAAUGGCUGUUAACCCUAACAGCGUUAGCCUCUUUCUUCUCAAACACACGUUCAACCUCUUUCUUCUUCUCAAACACACCCACACAGCCUCACGCCUCUCUCUCACAACCUCAACCUUCGUUUUCUGAGCAAACUCAGAUUGGCAAGAGAAUCCGGUACAGCCCUUCUCUCUCUCUCUCUCUCUCCUCGAACUCCUCAAACCCACGUCUCAACUUCUCUUCUUAAACACACAGAGCCCAGCCUCACGCCUCUCUCUCAUCUCCUCCACCUUUGUUUUCUGAGAAACUCAGGCCGGCGAGAUCUUGUGAUGCGAAAUCGACGGCGGCCACGUGUAGCAGCCGCCGAUCUCACCGGACAACUGGACAGCCCCUACCUCCUCACUGAUCUCACCGGACAGCAGCAGCCGCCGAUCUUGUGAUGCUUCACUUCCCUACCUCCUAACUCUGCUCCCACGCUUCUCUUCUCUAAUGGGCAUAAAUUACAUGGAACAUAUUUGCUUCUUCGCUAUAUUGCUCGUGUUGCUAGCCUUCCCAAUUUCUAUGGACAGAAUGCAUAUGAAUCUGGCCAGAUUGAUGAGUGGCUGGAAUAUGCUCCCGUCUUUUCAUUGGGUCCUGCAUUUGACAAAAUUUAUGUGAUGGUAGUAGUUGGAGCAGCCAAUGAGCCGCACUUUGAGAGUGAAGCAGAAAAAUUUGUAAAGUAUACCAUGACUUGCAGAUGAGGUGAAACUAAAAGCUUAAGUGCAGAAAAUUGAUUGGAAAUUGUAGCCUUGGCUUCCCUCAGUUAUUGUUAUUAUUAUUAUUAUUAUUAUUAUUUUGUAAAAAUUGGCUUUUUUUUCCUCUUUUGCGUAACCAGUGGCACUUAGUUGGUGAUUUGUGUACAAGUGCAUGGUAGCAUUGAUGUUUUUCAGCAAAUUUUCUUUGGUGAUGUAAUGAAUGGAAAGUGUUAUUGAUCAUGUA
Quercus robur (English oak) is the source of this 1004-nucleotide RNA transcript. RefSeq lists it as uncharacterized. The record is from RefSeq and is a predicted model, not a curated record. The transcript has 3 exons. Lineage: Eukaryota; Viridiplantae; Streptophyta; Magnoliopsida; Fagales; Fagaceae.